Molecule: ribosomal RNA, 253 nt
Filed under: uncultured bacterium
Lineage: Bacteria
Description: partial 16S ribosomal RNA
Rfam family: Bacterial small subunit ribosomal RNA
Source: RNAcentral
UACGGAGGGUGCAAGCGUUAUCCGGAUUCACUGGGUUUAAAGGGUGCGUAGGCGGACAAGUAAGUCAGUGGUGAAAUCUCUGGGCUUAACUCAGAAACUGCCGUUGAUACUAUUUGUCUUGAAUAUCGUGGAGGUAAGCGGAAUAUGUCAUGUAGCGGUGAAAUGCUUAGAUAUGACAUAGAACACCAAUUGCGAAGGCAGCUUACUACCCGAAUAUUGACACUGAGGCACGAAAGCGUGGGGAUCAAACAGG